GCUGGUCCUGGCACCGCCCCGCUCCAGACCCCGCCCCCAGCGCCGCGCGACUGCUGUUGCACCUGCGCUCACUGAACCCGCCCGGCCCCGGUGCUUCCGGAGCUUCUCAGCUGGUGGUGGGUAACCCCUGGCGCGUCCCGUUCUGUAUUUGGUAUGAUUUCACUUGUGCGCACCAUGCUGGGCUCCCUGCAUCUGAAAUUUCCCCCUUCCUCGACUCUGGAAAGGUAGCCUUGCUAAAAUAUCUCGCGUCCUCCAAAUCGAACCGCUCCUUAUCAUUUUCUUUUUGUCUAUCAUUUUUUCUCGGUUACAGCCUUUCUAAUAAUGCUCCCUUUUGCUACAUUCAUUUCUAGAAGUCGUAUUUAACUUGCAUUUCUAGCAAUAAGAAGGAGAUGAAACCGCGGAAGCUCUCCGCUACAGCACACCAUUUCGUCUGCGGGGUUCCGACACCGAGAAAAAAGGCGCGCCGAGACCCACCUACUCUGCACCUCUGCUUGUAGCCUGCGGGUCCGCUUCGGACUCACACUCUGCACUUCCCCGGAGUCAUCACUCGCUGCACCCCAGUGCACGUGGACGAGUGUACCUGCGCCGUGCCUUCAGCUUGCUCUGCAUUGCGCUCACCUGAGGAAACCCAGCUGGAUGAGCCCGACCAUUCUCCUCCAAGGCCUCUGGAGAAACGUCACCAGCUGGCCUGAUGCGUUUCUGUUGGAACCCUUGACCACAUACGCAGAAAGAGCACUUCACACUCCUAAGCAAUCUCCAAGAGGGCAUGUCUCCCCGCUAUCAGAUAACUUCUCAGAUCCCUCUAGUUAAGCCUCCCAGAGGGGACCAAAACACCCAUCACCAAACCGCAGGCUCACCAAUCCAUCCCCUGCCUUUCACUUUCUCUCCAGAAAGUAGGCCUUCCUGUUUCUCUUCUCCUAUCAAAUAUAGUUGCUUCAGGGAACUGGAAUCCAUGCCUUUCUCCUGCAUUGUCAGUUUGCCCAUCUCCAUUAAAUAAUUUCCAAGAGCAUGCAAACACACUCUCUGUGUUCAUUGUAAAAGCAAAAGGCCUCCUUUACUCCAUCCCACCUCCCUGGGGACUCCACUAUUCCCUUAGUGACUGUGCCAGCACCUCAAUAUCAUCUUGUUUUAUUUCUUUUUCUCUCUUCCACCGAUUCCAU
This 1160-nucleotide long non-coding RNA is filed under the name Marmota monax (woodchuck). Lineage: Eukaryota; Metazoa; Chordata; Mammalia; Rodentia; Sciuridae. The record is from RNAcentral.